GACGAACGCUGGCGGCGUGCUUAACACAUGCAAGUCGAACGGAAAGGCCCUGCUUUUGUGGGGUGCUCGAGUGGCGAACGGGUGAGUAACACGUGAGUAACCUGCCCUUGACUUUGGGAUAACUUCAGGAAACUGGGGCUAAUACCGGAUAGGAGCUCCUGCUGCAUGGUGGGGGUUGGAAAGUUUCGGCGGUUGGGGAUGGACUCGCGGCUUAUCAGCUUGUUGGUGGGGUAGUGGUUUACCAAGGCUUUGACGGGUAGCCGGCCUGAGAGGGUGGCCGGCCACAUUGGGACUGAGAUACGGCCCAGACUCCUACGGGAGGCAGCAGUGGGGAAUAUUGCACAAUGGGCGGAAGCCUGAUGCAGCAACGCCGCGUGCGGGAUGACGGCCUUCGGGUUGUAAACCGCUUUCGCCUGUGACGAAGCGUGAGUGACGGUAAUGGGUAAAGAAGCACCGGCUAACUACGUG
This 468-nucleotide ribosomal RNA is filed under the name uncultured bacterium. Its description in RNAcentral is "partial 16S ribosomal RNA". It matches the Rfam family "Bacterial small subunit ribosomal RNA", at positions 28 to 507 of the family's 1533-position model. The record is from RNAcentral.